GACGAACGCUGGCGGCGUGCUUAACACAUGCAAGUCGAACGGAAAGGUCUCUUCGGAGAUACUCGAGUGGCGAACGGGUGAGUAACACGUGGGUGAUCUACCCUGCACUUCGGGAUAAGCCUGGGAAACUGGGUCUAAUACCGGAUAGGACCACGGGAUGCAUGUCCUGUGGUGGAAAGCGUUUAGCGGUGUGGGAUGGGCCCGCGGCCUAUCAGCUUGUUGGUGGGGUGAUGGCCUACCAAGGCGACGACGGGUAGCCGGCCUGAGAGGGUGUCCGGCCACACUGGGACUGAGAUACGGCCCAGACUCCUACGGGAGGCAGCAGUGGGGGGAUAUUGCACAAUGGGCGCAAGCCUGAUGCAGCGACGCCGCGUGGGGGAUGACAGCCUUC
This 391-nucleotide ribosomal RNA is filed under the name uncultured Actinomycetales bacterium. RNAcentral describes it as "bacterial SSU rRNA". It matches the Rfam family "Bacterial small subunit ribosomal RNA", at positions 28 to 419 of the family's 1533-position model. Lineage: Bacteria; Bacillati; Actinomycetota; Actinomycetes; Actinomycetales. The record is from RNAcentral.